Homo sapiens (human) is the source of this 659-nucleotide long non-coding RNA. RefSeq lists it as uncharacterized. The record is from RefSeq and is a predicted model, not a curated record. The transcript is spliced from 3 exons. NCBI's taxonomy places the organism in Eukaryota, Metazoa, Chordata, Mammalia, Primates, Hominidae.
GACCUGUUGGAGAGAACUACCACCCAGAACUCCUGAGCUUCCAUCUGAGGCUGUAAUAAAUGAGGCCAUAAUUAUCUUCCCUGACAUUCAGAAAGAAUCCCAAGGGAAUUGUAUAUGGCAAGAAAGCAUAUACAUGGAUAUUUAGGAGGCCAGAGUGGCAAAUUACUAGCUGCCCCCAAAUAUUUUUAUCAGCAUCCAACUAGAAACUUCAUUUUCCAGCCUCCAGUAGAAUAUGAAAAAGCUGAGGCUUAAAAGCACAAAGUUACUCCAAAGGAGAGGGAUGAUAGAGUUAAUCGUCUAAACCAGGACACAUCUGAGCAUGAAAGGAGGCAGUCACUGCACAGGAUGCUAGAACAAACGGAAGUGAUUUGCAAUUCCUGGAUGACACCUGAAUUUUACCAAAAGGUUUCAAGGCAACCCUUUAGAAAGUGACCUUUUGCUUUCCCCAUUUCCUUUGCCCUAAGUGUUAAUUGACUUUGAAAAAGCAGUAUAUUAUCUUUUCAGAAAAAAGAAAAGGAUAGACCUUAUUUGUGAACACCAACAUCCUACAGCAUCAAAGCGUUGUUUAAAUCAUCGCACAGCAGAGCUGAGAACAACUAUCCAGGAGAGUGAGAUUUAAAAAAAAAGAAAAGAAAAGAAGUCUUAGAAUGAAAGAGUGC